CGGGGCCGUGCGGGGCAGGGUGGCGGGAGCCCGGCGGCUCUCCCGCAGCGAGGGGAGCCGGGUGGGACCGGCCGCACGCCACCGCUGCCUCCCGCCGCUCCCCUCCUCGGAAGGGGCGGCCUGCCUUCACCCCUUCCCCAUCCCGGGUGUUUCAGUUCCUUUGUGAAUGAGGAAUCCUCCCCCUGACUUUGUGUCUAUUUCUGAAGGGGAGACUGCGCUCGGAAGACGCGCCCACUUGCCCUGAAGUCCGUCACCUGCAACGCUGGAGCGAUUUAAAACUCACCUUUAGUGGAAGGUCAUUUGUCAACUUGUCAGCCCGAGGGUUGGGACGGUGCAGCCACCGGGCCAUGGUGGGGAUAUCACGGGAUGAACGGGCCUUGCAGAGGCGCCGUGUCCAAUAGGUCUCUGGCACACAGCAGCGCACACAGGAGCCAUGACACCAGUGUUUCAAGGGUCUGUUGCUCCUUAUCAGCAGAAUAGGAAUGAUGAAGACAGAGUGUCUUGGCUUUUCAAGUUUAAGAAAAUGUGGAGGCACUGGCGCAUUAGGUAUUGCUGUGAAGGAUCAAGAUACAUGGUUAAGAGGAAACAAACAAAUGGAAGGUGCUUUUCAAAUGAAGUUUAUUGGAUUUUUGCGAAGCAUUUAUGCAAACCUCUUUCCACUCCUUGGGAAAAAAAAAAAGGGGAAGAAGGGAAGAAUUUGUGACUAGA
Molecule: non-coding RNA, 708 nt
Organism: Phalacrocorax carbo (great cormorant)
Lineage: Eukaryota; Metazoa; Chordata; Aves; Suliformes; Phalacrocoracidae
Source: RefSeq, a predicted model, not a curated record